CCUACGGGAGGCUGCAGUGGGGAAUAUUGCACAAUGGGCGCAAGCCUGAUGCAGGCAUGCCGCGUGUGUGAAGAAGGCCUUCGGGUUGUAAAGCACUUUCAGCGGGGAGGAAGGCGGUGAGGUUAAUAACCUCAUCGAUUGACGUUACCCGCAGAAGAAGCACCGGCUAACUCCGUGCCAGCAGCCGCGGUAAUACGGAGGGUGCAAGCGUUAAUCGGAAUUACUGGGCGUAAAGCGCACGCAGGCGGUCUGUCAAGUCGGAUGUGAAAUCCCCGGGCUCAACCUGGGAACUGCAUUCGAAACUGGCAGGCUAGAGUCUUGUAGAGGGGGGUAGAAUUCCAGGUGUAGCGGUGAAAUGCGUAGAGAUCUGGAGGAAUACCGGUGGCGAAGGCGGCCCCCUGGACAAAGACUGACGCUCAGGUGCGAAAGCGUGGGGAGCAAACAGGAUUAGAUACCCCAGUAGUC
Molecule: ribosomal RNA, 465 nt
Filed under: uncultured Klebsiella sp.
Lineage: Bacteria; Pseudomonadati; Pseudomonadota; Gammaproteobacteria; Enterobacterales; Enterobacteriaceae
Description: bacterial SSU rRNA
Rfam family: Bacterial small subunit ribosomal RNA
Source: RNAcentral